UCCAGGUGCUUGGGGGUGCAGCACCCAUCUUCUGGAUGUCCCCACGUCUCGGCAGGGCACUGAUGUUCGCUGCUUUCCCCUCGCAGUACACGCCUGGCCAUGCUCAGCAACAACCUGACGCACUGGAAGAAGCUGCCCCUGCUGCCAUCUCUGACCAACCAACCACACCAAGUGCUCGCCAGUGACCCUGUCCCCUUCGCAGACCUGCAGCAGGUGUCCCAGAUAGCCGCCUAUGCCUUCAGUGCGCUCUCACAGAUCCGUGUCAACGCCAAAGAAGAACUGGUUGUACAGUUUGGCAUCCCCUGAACCUGCCCCCACCACUGCUGCUUCAGCGCUUUGGGUUGUUUUUGGUUUAUUUCCUGAUUGUUUUUUUUCCUCUUUAUAUCCCUUCCCUCCCCAUGCUGCUGCCACAGAACUUGGACAGAUAUCCUGUUUCCUACUAAAUGCCAAGGCGCACAUCAUUGGCACAUUGAGCC
This is a non-coding RNA of Lonchura striata (white-rumped munia), 476 nucleotides long. Lineage: Eukaryota; Metazoa; Chordata; Aves; Passeriformes; Estrildidae. The record is from RefSeq and is a predicted model, not a curated record.